This 292-nucleotide ribosomal RNA is filed under the name uncultured bacterium. RNAcentral's name for it is "partial 16S ribosomal RNA". It matches the Rfam family "Bacterial small subunit ribosomal RNA", at positions 505 to 796 of the family's 1533-position model. The record is from RNAcentral.
GUGCCAGCCGCCGCGGUAAUACAGAGGUCUCAAGCGUUGUUCGGAUUCAUUGGGCGUAAAGGGUGCGUAGGCGGCGCCGUAAGUCGGAUGUGAAAUCUUCGGGCUCAACCCGGAAACUGCAUUCGAUACUGCGGUGCUUGAGGACUCGAGAGGAGAUCGGAAUUCACGGUGUAGCAGUGAAAUGCGUAGAUAUCGUGAGGAAGACCAGUGGCGAAGGCGGAUCUCUGGAGAGUUCCUGACGCUGAGGCACGAAGGCCAGGGGAGCAAACGGGAUUAGAAACCCCUGUAGUCC